GUUGGAAACGACUGCUAAUACCGCAUAAGCGCACGGGAUCGCAUGAUCCAGUGUGAAAAACUCCGGUGGUACAGGAUGGACCCGCGUCUGAUUAGCUGGUUGGUGAGGUAACGGCCCACCAAGGCAACGAUCAGUAGCCGGCCUGAGAGGGUGAACGGCCACAUUGGGACUGAGACACGGCCCAAACUCCUACGGGAGGCAGCAGUGGGGAAUAUUGCACAAUGGGGGAAACCCUGAUGCAGCGACGCCGCGUGAGUGAAGAAGUAUUUCGGUAUGUAAAGCUCUAUCAGCAGGGAAGAAAAUGACGGUACCUGACUAAGAAGCCCCGGCUAACUACGUGCCAGCAGCCGCGGUAAUACGUAGGGGGCAAGCGUUAUCCGGAUUUACUGGGUGUAAAGGGAGCGUAGACGGCAUGGCAAGUCUGAAGUGAAAUGCGGGGGCUCAACCCCUGAACUGCUUUGGAAACUGUCAGGCUGGAGUGCAGGAGAGGUAAGUGGAAUUCCUAGUGUAGCGGUGAAAUGCGUAGAUAUUAGGAGGAACACCAGUGGCGAAGGCGGCUUACUGGACUGUAACUGACGUUGAGGCUCGAAAGCGUGGGGAGCAAACAGGAUUAGAUACCC
This 620-nucleotide ribosomal RNA is filed under the name uncultured bacterium. RNAcentral describes it as "bacterial SSU rRNA". It matches the Rfam family "Bacterial small subunit ribosomal RNA", at positions 149 to 787 of the family's 1533-position model. The record is from RNAcentral.